UAGGGAAUCUUCCGCAAUGGACGCAAGUCUGACGGAGCAACGCCGCGUGAGUGAAGAAGGAUUUCGGUUCGUAAAACUCUGUUGUUAGAGAAGAACAGCGCAUAGAGUAACUGUUAUGCGUGUGACGGUAUCUAACCAGAAAGCCACGGCUAACUACGUGCCAGCAGCCGCGGUAAUACGUAGGUGGCAAGCGUUGUCCGGAUUUAUUGGGCGUAAAGCGAGCGCAGGCGGUCAAUUAAGUCUGAUGUGAAAGCCCCCGGCUCAACCGGGGAGGGUCAUUGGAAACUGGUUGACUGGAGUGCAGAAGAGGAGAGUGGAAUUCCAUGUGUAGCGAUGAAAUGCGUAGAUAUAUGGAGGAACACCAGUGGCGAAGGCGACUCUCUGGUCUGUAACUGACGAUGAGGCUCGAAAGCGUGGGUAGCAAACAGG
This 429-nucleotide ribosomal RNA is filed under the name Bacteroidota bacterium. RNAcentral describes it as "Bacteroidetes bacterium partial 16S ribosomal RNA". It matches the Rfam family "Bacterial small subunit ribosomal RNA", at positions 355 to 776 of the family's 1533-position model. The record is from RNAcentral. Lineage: Bacteria; Pseudomonadati; Bacteroidota.